CUCUUAUGGGAGGGAGCCUGCACAGGUGGUGCAUGGUUGUCGUCAGCUCGUGUCGUGAGAUGUUGGGUUAAGUCCCGCAACGAGCGCAACCCUUGCAUCUAGUUGCCAGCGGGUGAAGCCGGGCACUCUAGAUGGACUGCCGUGGACAACACGGAGGAAGGUGGGGAUGACGUCAAAUCAUCAUGCCCUAUAUGCCCUGGGCCACACACGUGCUACAAUGGCCGGUACAGAGGGAGGCGAAGCCGCGAGGUGGAGCGGAACCCAAAAAGCCGGUCCAAGUUCGGAUUGCAGGCUGCAACUCGCCUGCAUGAAGGCGGAAUCGCUAGUAAUCGCGGAUCAGCAUGCCGCGGUGAAUACGUUCCCGGGCCUUGUACACACCGCCCGUCACACCACGAGAGUCUGCAACACCCGAAGCCGGUGA
Molecule: ribosomal RNA, 421 nt
Filed under: Thermoanaerobacter uzonensis DSM 18761
Lineage: Bacteria; Bacillati; Bacillota; Clostridia; Thermoanaerobacterales; Thermoanaerobacteraceae
Description: bacterial SSU rRNA
Rfam family: Bacterial small subunit ribosomal RNA
Source: RNAcentral